Molecule: ribosomal RNA, 497 nt
Filed under: uncultured bacterium
Lineage: Bacteria
Description: partial 16S ribosomal RNA
Rfam family: Bacterial small subunit ribosomal RNA
Source: RNAcentral
GAUGAACGCUGGCGGCGUGCCUAAUACAUGCAAGUCGAGCGAACAGACGAGGAGCUUGCUCCUCUGACGUUAGCGGCGGACGGGUGAGUAACACGUGGAUAACCUACCUAUAAGACUGGGGUAACUUCGGGAAACCGGAGCUAAUACCGGAUAAUAUAUUGAACCGCAUAGUUCAAUAGUGAAAGACGGUUUUGCUGUCACUUAUAGAUGGAUCCGCGCCGCAUUAGCUAGUUGGUAAGGUAACGGCUUACCAAGGCAACGAUGCGUAGCCGACCUGAGAGGGUGAUCGGCCACACUGGAACUGAGACACGGUCCAGACUCCUACGGGAGGCAGCAGUAGGGAAUCUUCCGCAAAGGGCGAAAGCCUGACGGAGCAACGCCGCGUGAGUGAUGAAGGUCUUCGGAUCGUAAAACUCUGUUAUUAGGGAAGAACAAAUGUGUAAGUAACUAUGCACGUCUUGACGGUACCUAAUCAGAAAGCCACGGCUAACUACGUG